Molecule: ribosomal RNA, 497 nt
Filed under: uncultured bacterium
Lineage: Bacteria
Description: partial 16S ribosomal RNA
Rfam family: Bacterial small subunit ribosomal RNA
Source: RNAcentral
GAUGAACGCUGGCGGCGUGCCUAAUACAUGCAAGUCGAGCGAACAGACGAGGAGCUUGCUCCUCUGACGUUAGCGGCGGACGGGUGAGUAACACGUGUAUAACCUACCUAUAAGACUGGGAUAACUUCGGGAAACCGGAGCUAAUACCGGAUAAUAUAUUGAACCGCAUGGUUCAAUAGUGAGAGACGGUGUUGCUGUCACUUAUAGAUGGAUCCGCGCCGGAUUAGCUAGUUGGUAAGGUAACGGGUUACCAAGGCAACGAUGCGUAGCCGACCUGAGAGGGUGAUCGGCCACAUGGGAAGGGAGCCACCGUCAAGAGUCCUACGGGAGGCAGCAGUAGGGAAUCUUACGCAAUGGGCGAAAGCCUGACGGAGCAACGCCGAGUGAGUGAUGAAGGUCUUCGGAUCGUAAAACUCUGUUAUUAGGUAAGAACAAAUGUGUAAUUAACCAUGCACGUCUUGACGGUACCUAAUCAGAAAGCCACGGCUAACUACGUG